CUACGGGGCGCAGCAGUCGAGAAUAUUCGUCAAUGGGCGAAAGCCUGAACGAGCGACGCCGCGUGCAGGAUGAAGGUCUUAGGAUUGUAAACUGCUUUUAGUGGGGAGAAAGUCGCAAGACUGAUAGUACCCGCUGAAUAAGGAGCGGCAAACUUCGUGCCAGCAGCAGCGGUAAUACGAAGGCUUCAAGCGUUAUCCGGAUUUAUUGGGCGUAAAGGGCGCGUAGGGGGUUUUGUGCGUCUUAUGUAAAAUGCCACUGCUCAACAGUGGCGCUGCAUGGGAAACGGCAAGACUAGAGAGCGUUAGAGGUACACGGAACGCACGGUGUAGGGGUGAAAUCCGUUGAUAUCGUGCGGAACACCAAAGGCGAAGGCAGUGUACUGGGACGUUUCUGACCCUGAGGCGCGAAAGCGUGGGGAGCAAAAAGGAUUAGAUACCCCGGUAGUC
RNAcentral lists this ribosomal RNA (447 nucleotides) under uncultured bacterium. Its description in RNAcentral is "partial 16S ribosomal RNA". It matches the Rfam family "Bacterial small subunit ribosomal RNA", at positions 339 to 795 of the family's 1533-position model. The record is from RNAcentral.